This 464-nucleotide ribosomal RNA is filed under the name uncultured bacterium. RNAcentral's name for it is "bacterial SSU rRNA". It matches the Rfam family "Bacterial small subunit ribosomal RNA", at positions 331 to 792 of the family's 1533-position model. The record is from RNAcentral.
CCAGACUCCUACGGGAGGCAGCAGUGAGGAAUAUUGGUCAAUGGGCGGAAGCCUGAACCAGCCAAGUCGCGUGAGGGAAUAAGGCCCUACGGGUCGUAAACCUCUUUUGCCGGGGAGCAAGGGCGGGGACGUGUCCCGGCCCGGAGAGUACCCGGAGAAAAAGCAUCGGCUAACUCCGUGCCAGCAGCCGCGGUAAUACGGAGGAUGCGAGCGUUAUCCGGAUUUAUUGGGUUUAAAGGGUGCGUAGGCGGGCUUUUAAGUCAGCGGUAAAAAUUCGGGGCUCAACCCCGUCCGGCCGUUGAAACUGGUUUUCUUGAGUGAGUGAGAAGUAUGCGGAAUGCGUGGUGUAGCGGUGAAAUGCAUAGAUAUCACGCAGAACUCCGAUUGCGAAGGCAGCAUACCGGCGCUCAACUGACGCUCAUGCACGAAAGUGUGGGUAUCGAACAGGAUUAGAUACCCUAGUA